GACAGAGGUGCCGAGCGUUAGGCGGAAUCACUGGGCUUAAAGCGUGUGUAGGCGGAUGCCUAAGUACCUUGUGAAAUCCCACGGCUUAACCGUGGAACUGCUUGGUAUACUGGGUGUCUUGAGCCACUUAGGGGCGACCGGAACAAACGGUGGAGCGGUGAAAUGCGUAGAUAUCGUUUGGAACGCCAAUGGUGAAAACAGGUCGCUGGGAGUGUGCUGACGCUGAGACACGAAAGCCAGGGGAGCGAACGGG
Molecule: ribosomal RNA, 253 nt
Filed under: uncultured bacterium
Lineage: Bacteria
Description: partial 16S ribosomal RNA
Rfam family: Bacterial small subunit ribosomal RNA
Source: RNAcentral